GAUAGCGUGGUGUAGUGGUUUGGUAUGUGGGAUUAGGAUUCUGGAGCCUAGGGUUCGAGUCCCUGCUCCACCA
Non-coding RNA from Phrynosoma platyrhinos (Desert horned lizard), 73 nucleotides. NCBI's taxonomy places the organism in Eukaryota, Metazoa, Chordata, Lepidosauria, Squamata, Phrynosomatidae. The record is from the annotation of a GenBank genome assembly.